Molecule: ribosomal RNA, 404 nt
Filed under: uncultured bacterium
Lineage: Bacteria
Description: bacterial SSU rRNA
Rfam family: Bacterial small subunit ribosomal RNA
Source: RNAcentral
UGGGGAAUAUUGCACAAUGGGCGAAAGCCUGAUGCAGCAACGCCGCGUGAGCGAUGAAGGCCUUUGGGUCGUAAAGCUCUGUCCUGGGGGAAGAAUAAAUGACGGUACCCUUGGAGGAAGCCCCGGCUAACUACGUGCCAGCAGCCGCGGUAAUACGUAGGGGGCAAGCGUUAUCCGGAUUUAUUGGGUUUAAAGGGUGCGCAGGCGGGAUGUUAAGUCGGCGGUGAAAUUUUGCAGCUCAACUGUAAAAGUGCCUUCGAUACUGGCUUCCUUGAGUGUGGAUGAAGUAGGCGGAAUCUGUGGUGUAGCGGUGAAAUGCUUAGAUAUCACGAGGAACUCCGAUUGCGCAGGCAGCUUACUAAGCCACAACUGACGCUCAUGCACGAAGGCGUGGGGAUCAAACA